RNAcentral lists this ribosomal RNA (869 nucleotides) under uncultured archaeon. Its description in RNAcentral is "bacterial SSU rRNA". It matches the Rfam family "Archaeal small subunit ribosomal RNA", at positions 1 to 878 of the family's 1478-position model. The record is from RNAcentral.
UUCCGGUUGAUCCUGCCGGACCUGACUGCUAUCGGAUUGGUACUAAGCCAUGCGAGUCGUUGUAGCAAUACAAGGCGGACGGCUCAGUAACACGUAGUCAACCUAACCUAUGGACGUGGAUAACCUCGGGAAACUGAGAAUAAACCGCGAUAGAUCAUUAUGCCUGGAAUGGCUUAUGGUUCAAACAAUUUAUUGCCGUAGGAUGGGACUGCGGCCUAUCAGCUUGUUGGUGAGGUAAUGGCCCACCAAGGCUAUAACAGGUACGGGCUCUGAGAGGAGAAGCCCGGAGAUGGGUACUGAGACACGGACCCAGGCCCUAUGGGGCGCAGCAGGCGAGAAACCUUAGCAAUGUGCGAAAGCACGACUAGGUUAAUCCGAGUGAUUUCUGUUGAAGAAAUCUUUUGUCAGUCGUAAAACCACAGACGAAUAAGGGGUGGGCAAGUCUGGUGUCAGCCGCCGCGGUAAUACCAGCACCUCGAGUGGUCAGGAGGUUUAUUGGGCCUAAAGCAUCCGUAGCCGGCUACGCAAGUCUCCGGUUAAAUCCAGCUGCUCAACAGAUGGGCUGCCGGAGAUACUACAUAGCUAGGGAGCGGGAGAGGUAGACGGUAUUCUGUGGGUAGGGGUAAAAUCCACUGAUCCAUAGAGGACCACCAGUGGCGAAGGCGGUCUACCAGAACGCGUUCGACGGUGAGGGAUGAAAGCUGGGGGAGCAAACCGGAUUAGAUACCCGGGUAGUCCCAGCUGUAAACGAUGCAAACUCGGUGAUGCAUUGGCUUAUGGCCAAUGCAGUGCCGCAGGGAAGCCGUUAAGUUUGCCGCCUGGGAAGUACGGACGCAAGUCUGAAACUUAAAGGGAUUGGCGGGGGAGCA